RNAcentral lists this ribosomal RNA (681 nucleotides) under uncultured Lachnospiraceae bacterium. Its description in RNAcentral is "bacterial SSU rRNA". It matches the Rfam family "Bacterial small subunit ribosomal RNA", at positions 64 to 743 of the family's 1533-position model. The record is from RNAcentral. Lineage: Bacteria; Bacillati; Bacillota; Clostridia; Lachnospirales; Lachnospiraceae.
GAACGAAGCUGCUUAACUGAUCUUCUUCGGAAUUGACGUUUUGUAGACUGAGUGGCGGACGGGUGAGUAACGCGUGGGUAACCUGCCCUGUACAGGGGGAUAACAGUCAGAAAUGACUGCUAAUACCGCAUAAGACCACAGCACCGCAUGGUGCAGGGGUAAAAACUCCGGUGGUACAGGAUGGACCCGCGUCUGAUUAGCUGGUUGGUGAGGUAACGGCUCACCAAGGCGACGAUCAGUAGCCGGCUUGAGAGAGUGAACGGCCACAUUGGGACUGAGACACGGCCCAAACUCCUACGGGAGGCAGCAGUGGGGAAUAUUGCACAAUGGGGGGAACCCUGAUGCAGCGACGCCGCGUGAGUGAAGAAGUAUCUCGGUAUGUAAAGCUCUAUCAGCAGGGAAGAAAAUGACGGUACCUGACUAAGAAGCCCCGGCUAACUACGUGCCAGCAGCCGCGGUAAUACGUAGGGGGCAAGCGUUAUCCGGAAUUACUGGGUGUAAAGGGUGCGUAGGUGGUAUGGCAAGUCAGAAGUGAAAACCCGGGGCUUAACUCUGGGACUGCUUUUGAAACUGUCAGACUGGAGUGCAGGAGAGGUAAGCGGAAUUCCUAGUGUAGCGGUGAAAUGCGUAGAUAUUAGGAGGAACAUCAGUGGCGAAGGCGGCUUACUGGACUGAAACUGA